RNAcentral lists this long non-coding RNA (34156 nucleotides) under Pelobates cultripes (western spadefoot toad). The record is from RNAcentral. Lineage: Eukaryota; Metazoa; Chordata; Amphibia; Anura; Pelobatidae.
CCUAUGUCUGGAACAUAGAGCCGUCUGUCUACUCAUUAAAUUAUAGGUAAGUUUUUAACUAUUCCUAUACACUUACUAUAAAUGGAGAACACUAUUGUUUUUUCCUUUAUUUCAUAUGGUGCACCUUACUACUAUCCUAUUGUGGAAAAGUAUCAGAGUGAAAUCCUACAAGUGGAGGAUCUAAACCAUUGUAUGCUGAUUAAUCCGGAGCUGGUUUAAGGCUCCACUGUAUGUGAGAUGUAGAUAGUUGGAUCAGGGAGCAGCGCCUAUGGAGUAAUUCCCACGUUCAGAGCGAUAUGGAGAAGGGAAGGAAAAAGACACGGAUAUAGUGUAGUAUGUUGAGAUCUUAAGUGAUGGUCAAGGCCGUCUUUAGCGCGGGGCAAACGGGGCAGCUGCCCCGGGCCCAGUUGCUCCUGGGGGGGCCCCAGAGCAGCCCCGCCAACUAAGGAGGCCCCCGGGUGGCCCAUGCACUAAGGGCCAUCCUGUGGGCAUGUGGCAGAAGGGGCCCGGUUGGGCGCUGUGACGCUUAAACAGCGCGACCGGGCCCCUUCCUGUGCCGGCUAGGAGGAAGUGAGUACCGCGUGUCACUUCCUCCCAACGGAGAUAGCGGCGCGGGAGGAGGAAGGCAGGGAGGAGGGGAGUUCCAGAGAAGAACUCCCAUCUGCCUCAGCCUGCCACUGGACCCCAGGGAAACCACCCUCCAUAAAAAGGUAAGAACCUGGAGGGUGGCUAAAUGUAUGUCAGUAUGUGUGUGUGUUAGUAUGUCUGUGUUUGUGUGUUAGUAUGUCUGUGUGUGUUAGUAUGUCUGUGUUUGUGUGUUAGUAUGUCUGUGUGUGUGUGUUUGUUAGUAUGUCUGUGUGUGUGUGUUAGUAUGCCUGUGUGUGUUAGUAUGCUUGUGUGUGUUAGUAUGCCUGUGUGUGUUAGUAUGUCUGUGUUUGUGUGUUAGUAUGUCUGUGUGUGUGUGUUUGUUAGUAUGUCUGUGUGUGUGUGUUAGUAUGCCUGUGUGUGUUAGUAUGUCUGAGUGUGUGUGUUAGUAUGUCUGUAUGUGUGUGUGUUAGUAUGUGUGUGUGUGUGUGUGUUAGUAUGUCUGUGUGUGUGUUUUAGUAUGUGUGUGUGUUAGUAUGUCUGUGUCUGUGUGUGUGUGUUAGUGUGUUAGUAUGUGUUUGUGUGUUAGUAUGUGUGUGUGUUAGUAUGUCUGUGUCAGUAUCUGUUUGUGUAUGUAUGUCAGUAUGUCUGUGUGUGUCUAUGACAGACAUACUGACAUACACACACAUACACACUGACAUACACACACACACACAGACAUACUGACACAUACACACACACAGACAUACACACACACACAUACUGACAUACACACACACACACACACACAGACAUAUACACACACAGACAUACUGACAUACACACACAGACAUGCUGACAUACACAGACAUACUGACAUACACACACAGACAUACUAACUCACCACACAGACAUACUAACACACACAGACAUACUGUGUGUAUGUCUGUGUGUUUGUAUGUCAGUAUGUCUGUGUGUGUAUGUCAGUAUGUCUCACUGUGUUCCAGUGUGUGUGUGUGUAUAUCAGUAUGUCUGUGUAUGUCAAUACACCUGUCAGUGUAUGUGUCUCUGUGUGUCUGUGUCAAUAUAUCUGUUAGUGUAUGUGUCUGUGAGUAUGUAUGUGUCUGUGUGUGUAUCAGUAUGUCUGAAUGUGUGUCAAUGUUUGCCAGUAUAUAUUUUUGUGUCAGUGUAUGUGUGUGUCAGUAUGUAUCUGCGAAUGUUUUAAUGUGUCUGUCUGUGUGUGUAUGUGUCAGUAUGUCUGUCAGUGUGAUUGCGGGUUGGGUGUAAUGGGGAGGAAGGGUGCAGUGACAGGGCCCAGGGGGCCCAAGAAAAGGCUUUGCCCGAGGUCCUAUUCAUAUUAUAGACGGCCCUGGUGAUGGUAAAUGAAGGGAAAGGAAUUGCACUUAGAAUUUUCUGGAGCCUAUAUUCAGCUCCAGAUAUGUGUGCCUGGACGGUACAAUCCCCACCUAAGCAUAUGUAGAUGGGCCUUGGAUGUCCUCAAAAGGGGGUCUCCAGUGGUAGUAGAGUAUAUAUCCUUUCCAAUGACAGUAGGCCACAUACUACAAUUGUAAGUACUGAUAUUCCACCUACCCCUUUACUCCACUGUAUGUGAGUUGCCAAUUGUGCACUUGCAUGUUGUGUGUAUCUCACUCUAACUGGCAUUUUGCACUAUUGGUUUUUGCUGUUCUCCUGUUUGCCUGUAAAUAUGUGUGUGUGUGUGUGUGUAACUGUCUGCCUGUAACUGUGUGCACGUGUGUGUAACUGUCUGCCUGUAACUGUGUGUGUGUGCGUAACUGUCUACCUGUAACUGUGUGUGUGUGUGUGUAACGGUCUGCCUGUAACUGUGUGUGUGUGCGUAACUGUCUACCUGUAAGUGUGUGUGAUUGCAUGCCUGUAACUGUGUGUGUGUGACUGCCUGUGACUGUGUGUGACAGUCUGCCUGUGACUGUGUGAUGCUGCCUGUUACUGUCUGCCUGUGACUGUGUGUGUGUGUGUGUGACACUGUCUGCAUGUAACUUUGUGUGUGACUGCCUGUAACUGACUGUGUGUGUAACUGCCUGUAACUGUGGGUGUGUGUCUGUAACUAUGUGUAUGACUGUCUGCCUGUGGCCGUGUGUGUGACUGUAUAUGUGACUGUCUGCCUGUAACAGUGCGCGUGACUGUGUGUAACUGCUUGUAACUGACUGUGUGUGUGUGUAACUCUCUACCUGUAACUGUGUGUAUGACUGCCUGCGACUAUAUGUGUGACUGUCUGCAUAUGACUGUGUGCGUGUGACUGUCUGCUUGUAACUGUGUGUGACUGUCUGCCUGUAACUGUAUGUGAGGGGGUGCAGGGAUUUUGUAGAAGGGGGCAGGGGUUUUAAAAAGUUUACAAAUUUGUUCAAUACAUUUUUUAAAAAAAUGUAAAAAAUAUAACACAUUUUUAAAAUUUAGUAGGUUUUUUUUUUUGGAGAGGUGAGCGGGGGUGCCAAACCCAGGACCCGCCCCGGGUGCCACAUGCCCAAAGUAUGCCUCUGUAGACUGGUAACGCUAUUUUCUCCCCAGAAAUAAUCCAGAAUAACCUGAGAUGAAUUUUUUUUUUAUAUUAAUAUUUAUGCAUGUGAUUAUUAGAUUGUUUUCAUAAUGCAUUAAAAAUGAGGAUGGACACCUAACUGAAUGAGGUCCAUUAUAGGUGCUUGAUUUUGUAAACUCUGCUGCCAAUCUGGACAUACAAUUUUGUAAGGCCUACUAUCUUUAAAAACAUAAGAAAUAGAGAAUUUGCCUGUUAUUUCCCCAUGGAUGUCUUCUUCACACUCAGUGGCCUGCAGCUUGAUGUAUACCUACUUCCCAAGGCAAAGGCAUUCCUCCUUGUUAGGUUACAUUGUUUUCAUAUUGGCACUUGAUAAAAUAGUUUCACACAAUCCAGAGGGGCAUGAAAUGGCAGAGGGGCCUUUUAAAGUGCAAUAGGCAUUUGUACACUUUGCUUGACCAGUGGAGAACCUUGAAUGGCUCCAGAUAAAAUAAAGAAGGCAAAAAAGGUGGACUCCCAGCCUGUCAGUGUAGCCCUUCUCAAGGAUAUAUAAGAUUAAGAACUAGACAAAGUGGAGUUUGUCAUCAUUGAUGACUUGAUGGAAGCAUGCAAUUUAGACCAACAUUCUCCAAACUCAGGUACAGUGCCUGAAAAACUAAUCAAUCUUGACCAGUAAAGAAUGAAUAGUCCCAUAAAUAGGAUUUUACCAUGAACAGAUCUGCCAAAGCAUCUGCAAGAUUUUGUUCAGGCAUAUUUUCUCAAAAUGAUUUCUUCUUGAUAUCUACACCUUUAACCCCUUCACAGCCUAAGGACAAUAAACACCACAGGUUAUUAUAGUAUUUAUGUACAAGAGCUGAAGUUGCUUGCCGAAAGAGACUAACUAACAUUUAAAAACAGUUUGACAAGCCCCUGAUGGACUGCACUCAAAAAGUUCUUGCACCAGAAUCACUUCAAGUCUGUGGUGUUCUUGGUACUUAGCAUCCAGUUAAAUGACCAGUGGAGGCUCAUCUAUAGGGAUAUUUAAGGCAGCACCCAUCAGUUGUUAUUUUGGGGGAGGACGGGGAUGGGGGAAUAAUUUCUAGUUGUUUAGAAAACCAAAGAUUCUCUUUUUGGAGGGAAGGGUAAUAAGCCAAAAAUAUAGGAAAUAAAGUAGUGUCUCUUUAAUUCUGUAAUAGGUUUCAGUUCUGUGGGGCCCCUUCCUCCCUCAUUGGUAACUCUGGAGAAGCCUACUUGAGAUCAUCUAUACAUGCCAAAAAAUGGGGUGGGUGGAAACCCGGCCUGUUUUAGCAGGUUUUGCACAUGACUAGUGUUCUUUAAGAAGAAAUUUCCAGAAUUUCCAUUGGGUUGCCCAAAUUGGCAGAGCCAGCUGCCUAUUAGUGGAGGCAUGGUAUGGCCUCUCUAUUAAGGUGCUAUCAUUGCUAUCAUUGGAUCAUAGCACUAGGUUUGGGGUUACAGUGCCCAUGUGAGAGAGAAACAAGAAGCCAUCUUGGGAGCAGCACAGGAGAGCGAAGCAGCAGCACCUCCCAGCCCCUGCCAAAUGUAAGUUAAUAAUAUUAUCUUCUUCUCUAGUGACUGCCAUAGGACUGGUUGUGUGGUAGAAGCUACAGGAGGUUUAAGUAAAGUUCAGUACUCACAUGGUUAAAACUACUGUGCAACUAUCUUGGACCAGGGCGCAUGUGCGGAAUGUCAGGAACACCCACUAUUAGAUAACAUGUGUAAGAGAUAAGUUUUAGUUUAAUAAUUGGAUGUAACCAUAGUAAUGUAGGUGUAAUUUCUGUAUUCUCUGUAUAUGUAUGGAAUACGUCAUUUGUGGUAUAUAUUCUUUGUUCUCUUGCAAACGUGUGCUCAGUCGGGUAUUCCAAGACUAUUGUCUGACUGAGACCUUUGCAGCUGCAAAAACAAUAAAUAGCCUUUGUUCUUCAACGACCUGUGUCGGGAGUGUUUGGAGUGUCCUUGUUUCAUACUUAACCAGAGUUGAUACAACAGUUGUAGUAGGGUUAUCACUGUCUUAUACUCAGCUCUAAGUAUUUCAUAGAUAUCUUUAUAUUGUGCCCAUCUUGUUUUAUGUGGGGACAUCUCUGUAUUAUGCUCAGCUCUCUAAAUUGAAUGAGUAUCUCUGUAUUGUAUAGAGAGGAGUAAAGUUCUGGGGAAGGAGUCUGUCGCCCCCCCAUCUUAAAACUUCACCAGUCACCACUGUAAAUGUCACACUGAUACACUAUACUUAUACUAAACAUCUAAUUGCAUCUGUUUUACUCUCUACUUUUCUGAAAAUACCACCAGGACUUUCUCUCCUUAGAUGAUAAGGUUAGUGCACAUGGCAGUGGUUAGAAGUCACUUUAUUUCAUUAACCUUUAACCUCACAAAAAGCUACAUCUACCAAUAUUGCUGCUUUGAGGGAUAAACUGCUCUUCUUGGAACCGCACUAAAGUAAUCUCCUUCUGCAUUACUGGCAGAGUGAAUUAAGUCUGUCAAAUCCUCAUUGAAUUAUCUGUAUACUAUACGCACUGUUUUUCUUUUAUCUAGACUUAAGCAGAUAUUUUGUACUGUGAGUAACUAAGCUAAUUCUAUGUUAACCAAUAAGAUAUGUUAAAUUAAUUAGCAGCCUCUAGAGUAAGUAAUUUAAUGUUCAAACAUAGCAACAACAUAAUUAAUCUCAAGAAAUUUUUUGUUUUCUUUGUUGAGUAAAUACAAUUUAUUCCACAGUCUGGCUGAUGACACCUAAACCAAUACCUAGGAUUACACCUGUCUUAAUGUCCACUUUAAAUGUUUCCUCUAUUGGCACUACAUAAGAGGUUUACCUUAUGGUAUAAAACGUGUGCUUUAUUCCAAAAGGAAAACAGGAAAGGAUGUUGUUAUAGGUUAAUGAUCAAGAGAAGGAUAUUUUCAGCAAGAAUAAUAAGCUUCCAUCGGUGGAUCAUAAGGGUGUGUAAUAUAGCUUCUUCAUUGUGGUCUACAUAAGGCAUUCUCAAAAAGGUUAACCCAUUAUAGAAAUUAGUUAACAGAUUCAAGUAUUUUGUUUCACAUGUGGUAUUUAGUAUCAGUGAAAUCAUUCAAUAUAACCCAUACCUGGGACUCUUUGUUGUCAACAGACUGCAAUCCUAGAAAAUAUGGGGUGAUCAUGCCUGUGACGAGACCAAUCUCGCCACUAUGCACACUUUAUUUUCCUAUGCAGAAAGAUCUAUUUCUGUAUUUCUGCCCUGGCAUUCGGUAGAUUCUCGGAUUUACUGAAUUAACUAAUUUAACCCAGAUAGCUAUGCCAUGGAGCCUAUUCGUGUAAUAAAAGACUUUGGCUCCAUGGCAAUUGAACUGUAUGUGUGUGGUCUGAGCGCCAUUCAGUAAUUAUGUGCGCUCAGACCUAAGCUGUCUGGGGAUAUGUUGCAUGUCUGUAUUUUAUGUAAUAGAUGUAACCUUGUGUAUUUUAUUGAAUUUUACUGUCUUUUUACUGCCAUGUGCUUAAUGGAGUUUUGCCUCUGUCCUUGGAGAUAAUUUGAUUACUUCCCAAUUAUCUCCAGGAUAGAAGACUCUGCGGAACUGGUUUUGUGCAGAAAAGCCAUGCUUCCUUUGGUCACAAAGGACUACGAUCUAUCUUUUGAACCACUGGACCAAUUUGGAUGAUUUUGACAUACGUUUGUAUUUGGAGUAUGCUGAUUCUGAAAAUGUAUGUUUUAUGUGAAUGUGAUGCAUACUUUUAAAGUUAUGAAUAAUGUGGAAAAAAUUUAUUUCUCUGCUGGUGAUAAUUAUAUUAGCCAUUGUGUAAGGUAAUUGUAUCACAGGCAGAGGGGAGGAUUUUGUGUGGGAGUGUCUGAGUGUACUGUAUGUGUUUAUUGGUUGUUUUCCAAAACCCUGUGGGUGGUACUAAUGUGUAUAUAAGAACAAUAAACCCACAGCUCUGUCUGUUCCUGCUUGACCCUCAAAACGGAGCCUUGUCUCGUUCUUGGGGGGAUUUAUUGUAUGCUGUUCCAGUUCGACUGCUAGGAGUGUAAACCUAUUCGUAUGGUUUUUCCUAUUCGGCUGUUUACAGCAUUCAUAUGGUUUCUGCAGUAGCUGUGCCUGUGUCUCUGGAAGGGAAGAUCUACUAAACGGCGGUUUAACCCUUUUAUGCCUGGGGGUGCCGUUACAAUGCCCAAUUAUCAUUGAAUUCUAUAUGGAUGUCUACUUGUCAAUCAGCAUACAAACUAUUUUGAGAUUUCUACAAUCUGUGAAAAUUACUUUACUGUUUCCUCUUAAUGUAUUCCAAUAGGUUAAAAGCGUGGCCUAGAUGCUGAUUUGUUAGUCAUCCAGAAAAAGGAAGUGUGCAUCCCUUCUCACCAUUUCCAAUGUCCACCUGAUUGUGGUCAAUAACCUCUCAUUGGAAUAAGCAGCUCAUAUUUUGUUGGAUAAUGUCACUAUUUGUCCCCAUGGAUACACUAUAUAAGAUUACACGGUUGGGAUGUAAAUAAUUGUAACAUUAUAAGUCAUCUUACUUAUCCAUCUGUUUUGUUGUGUAUUAUAACUGUAAUAAAGUUUGUAUUUUUCUGUAUACUUUAACGUGAUGUAUUGAGGUACAAAAGAGGUUCUACACCAAUGUAGACUGUCCCUUGGUUACAUUUGUUACCUCGCUUCCUUUUUCUUUAUGACACUCAAAAUAAAAAAAGGGGGGAAAUAAUAUAGUAUAGCAAGUUUAACAAAAUGUCAAGAAAUGAUAAAAAAAAAAAAAUCACUCACAAAAGUGAAGCACAUAGGAAUUAGAGAUGUCGCGAACCGUUCGCGAACUUCCCGCGAACGGCUCGCCGUGGUUCGCCACGAACCGUUCACGGCGAGCUCCGGUCAGCUGACACAUCCCGGCCAAUCUCCAGCAGACCCUCCCUCCCAGACCCUCCCACCUCCUGGAAGUUCGCGAACGGUUCGCAACAUUUCUAAUAGGAAUGUGUGACUAUUGUGGUGGCCACAGUGGCAUCAAAUACCUAAUGCCUUGCUCAAAGGAACAAUUGGUGUCAGGUCCUUUGGGGCAGUCUAUUAUGGGAUGUAGAUAUACUACCAGAAGGCAAUCUACAACACAAAAAUAAUAGAAACGGACAUAGAAUAGUAACGUAGUAAAUUGGGAAUUUAUAGGAAUAGAUAAUUGCACUCACAGACCCAAUUUGAUUGCAGGCAUAUAAUGAAUAACGAUGUGUAUACUUCUCGAUUUGUGGAACGUCAAUCCCAUGCAUAGGAGGAAGAAUAAUAAAAAAGUAAUAGUGCAGAGUAUCUUAAAUAAAAUUAACAAAAUUUAUUACAAGAUACACUUACAAAAAAGAUGUAUCAAAAAGGCACAUCAAACUCAGCUGAAGCUGCAACCCAGUCCCAGGAUCAGAAGAGCAGAGAAACCAAAUAAAAUAAAAUACACUUAAAAAACUAUAAAAAACAAAUACUCAGCAUAUAAGAAACAAGCCCUACGCGUUUCGUUCAUAAAAUGAACUUCAUCAGGGGAUUCCAAUCCUCUGUAAACAAGAAUACAUAAAACACUCGUCUUUUAUAAAUACAAUCAAAUUUGCCGCGAAGAAAAUCAGCUGUGCGUGUUACUUCCGGGUUCCGGCUUCGGCAUAUUUCCGGAUACGCCCCUAUUGCGUUCCGGAGCUUCUGUCCAAGCCUCACUCUGAAACUCAUCUGGUUGAACGGAAGUCAAGACGAAUAUGCGUUCCAUUUUGCGUUCCAUUCUCGGGGUUAGACACAUACAUCCCCAAAGCACAUCGUUAUAUAAAGAAAACAAAAUAUAAACAUAUAUGUGAUCAUAUAUACAAAUAUAUAAAAAAGGGAGAAGUAUCACCUAGUUUGAAAGAGGGGAAUGAUACAAACUUAUAAUAGUAAAAAAUACAAAUUAAUACAAAUUAACAUAUAAGACCAAAACAAAAUAAGAUGAAAAAAAAUAUAAAAGAAAAGAAAAAGAAAAAGAAAAAUUAAAAAAUAAUAAAAAUAAGAGCAAAAAUAAUCAAGUAAAAAUAAUAAUAAUAAUAAAAUACGAUGUGCUUUGGGGAUGUAUGUGUCUAACCCCGAGAAUGGAACGCAAAAUGGAACGCAUAUUCGUCUUGACUUCCGUUCAACCAGAUGAGUUUCAGAGUGAGGCUUGGACAGAAGCUCCGGAACGCAAUAGGGUCGUAUCCGGAAAUAUGCCGAAGCCGGAACCCGGAAGUAACACGCACAGCUGAUUUUCUUCGCGGCAAAUUUGAUUGUAUUUAUAAAAGACGAGUGUUUUAUGUAUUCUUGUUUACAGAGGAUUGGAUGCCCUUGAUGAAGUUAAUUUUAUGAACGAAACGCGUAGGGCUUGUUUCUUAUAUGCUGAGUAUUUGUUUUUUUAUAGUUUUUUAAGUGUAUUUUAUUUUAUUUGGUUUCUCUGCUCUUCUGAUCCUGGGACUGGGUUGCAGCUUCAGCUGAGUUUGAUGUGCCUUUUUGAUACAUCUUUUUUGUAAGUGUAUCUUGUAAUAAAUUUUGUUAAUUUUACUUAAGAUACUCUGCACUAUUACUUUUUUAUUAUUCUUCCUCCUAUGCAUGGGAUUGACGUUCCACAAAUCGAGAAGUAUACACAUCGUUAUUCAUGAUAUGCCUGCAAUCAAAUUGGGUCUGUGAGUGCAAUUAUCUAUUCCUAUAAAUUCCCAAUUUACUACGUUACUAUUCUAUGUCCGUUUCUAUUAUUUUUGUGUUGUAGAUUGCCUUCUGGUAGUAUAUCAAUAUUGUUUUAAGGACAUAAGAGGAGUCCUUUCAUCUACUUCACUUUUGACUAAGGGUAAUUUUUAUAUGUUUGUAUUUAUUACCCACUAAGUGUGUCGUCUACCUGCACACAGGUGUUUUGUAUCUAUAUUAUAUAUUGUAUAUUAUGGGAUGUAGGCUGUAAUAAAUUUGAAAAAAAAUUCUACAAGCUUGAUACUGAACAUUGUCAGACUUCCAUUAAGAGUAUGUUUAAGUCCCACACCAUUAUUAAUGUAUUAAAGAGUUUCUCCAAGCACUAUGACUAUUUCAGUGAUUUGAAGUGGUCAUAGUGCUUGGAGUGUUCAUGAGCAGCAUUUCACAAGAAAUGCUAAACUUAUAGCGAUACAGAACUUUGCAGCCUCAGGUGUAAUUACUCCUCCCGGAGUGUCAUUAGCAGAGAGUUUUGGGCUGCUAAUGUCAGUUCUAUGCAUGUCAGCCCACCUAGCAUACUGUAGAUUGGUGACCAAAGGUGGGACUGUACCUCCUCCAUGUUGGCCUUUGUCUUCCCUCAGUCCUACUCCAUAACAUGAUCCCCUAUAACAAAGGGGUGUAAUGUGACCAAAGGACAAUAAGGCUGCUAUGAGAACUAAAUAAAGAAUCCUUUAAUUCUGUCUCUUUUUUUUUUUGAGCCAGGAAGGAUUACUCCAUCCAAAAGAAAUCUGAUUUUGAUGGCCAUAACCCUUCAACACAUUAAACUCCAUUUUUAACAAUUUAUUUUUUCCAUAAAAUUUUGUAACAUGAGAUGUCAUGACAUUAAAACGCAGGAUUCAUAGCUAACUCUUUAAAUCACAGUAUUUAAAAUUUUAUUUUUUUGCUGAUUGCUCAAUAGAGAGACCGAAAAAAGCAAAUUAUACACAUUUACAAAAAUAUAAUGUUUCCAUUUAUUGUAUUCAACCUUUGAAGACCUAUAGGAAUUAUACAAGAACAAGUUUCUAUCAGGGUUAUUUAUUCAAAUUCAAGCUGUAGUGAACUGAAAAUCUGUAUUGCAAAAUUAAGACUAAUAUAAAAUCAAGCUGUGACUAUAGCUGAAUUGGAAAUUUUCUCCAAAUGAGCUACCAUUGCCUACAUUUUACUAUUCAGGGUUCAGUUUGUGACAAUUUAGAGCUUAAUUACUAAUCCUAGAAGAACAAACCCGAAUUUUUUUGGUACAGUCAGGGUUAUUUCUUAAAGGGACGCUGUAGUCAAGAGCAGGGGCAUACCUGGAGCAUUUGCAUUUGCAUUUCAUUUUUAAAAAUUGCACAAAUAUGUAAAAUAAAAAAAAUCUGUCCGGCCCCCUACUAUAAAACCCCUCUCCUGCCUGCAGUUUUACAAAACGCAUGUCCUGCCCCCGUUCUACAAAACUCCUGCACACCCCUUUCCACAAAUCCGCUGCUCAGCCCCCUUUAAACAAAAUCCCUGUCCCCCCAUUACAAACCCCUGCACACCCCUUCCAUAAAACUCCUGCACCCACCCUUCCCAAAAAAACAUGCCUCUCCUUCUAAAGUCACUUCUCAGCCUCUUACAAAAUAUUUUUUUCUUUACACAACAAUAUUAGCAACAGUCUUCAGAGUCCAGUCCCAGGCACAUAGUCACUCGAACACAGUCACACACAUGGUUACAGGCAGACAGUCACACAAACAGAUAUAGACAGACACACAUCCAACUACAGACAGACAGACAGACACACACACACAGACACACACACACUCUCUCUCUUCGCCAAUCACAGACAGAUAGUCACACACACACAGUCACAUGCAGACAAUCACACACACACAGUCACAGGCAGACAUUUACACACACACAGUCACAGGCAGAUAGUCACACACACUCAGUUACAGGCUGCAUUCCUAAAUCACAGGCAGACAGUCACGGGCAGACAAUCACACACAGACACAGUCACACACAGUUACAGGCAGGUAGUCACACACCUACACACCCACCCCCACACACUGUCACAGGCAAACAGUCUCACAAACACACACACAGUCACAGGCAGUCACACAGACACACACUGAGUCACAGGCAGACAGUCAACACAUACACAUUCUCUCUUACUUACUGACCGUAUGGGCUGGAGUCUGAUUUGUUUGGGAAGCAGGGACUCCAUUCUGCUUCCCCUCGAUGUGCAGCAGUGAUAGUAGCGGGUGGAGGCUGUGUUUAGCUCCACCCUGCUGGUUUUGCUUCACCCCACUGCCAAUUUGCUUCAUCCCCGCUUUUCUUAGAUGUGUCCGGUUUUGAAAUUCUGUGGCUGUCUGCGAGAAUGAGCUGUACAGCUGUCAUGGCGCCCUGUGCAGCCGCACAGCUCACACAUCCUAAGGCUGCCCUGGUCAUGGCACCCCCUUGCUUAGUACACCACCGGUAGCCAGAACAAGCUUCACAGCUUAAUGUAAUGGUUCUGGUGUCUAUAUCAUGUCCCUGCAGGUUUUUUGAUGAAAACAUUGCCUUUUGAGAGAAAAUACAGUAUUUACCUUGCUGCCUAGUAACACUUCUUGGUGCAGCCAGUCAGAUGACCACUAGAGGUGCUUCCUGUGUCAGCGCUCUGUAAUGAGACAUUGAAAGCUCCCCAUAAAGAUGCAUUGAUUCCAUGCAUACAGGGCUGGUGCAAGGAUUUUUGACUGCACAGGCAAAAACGGAUUUUGCCCCCCUUCCCACACACACUGGUUCUCUCGGUACUGAUAGGCAUGCAACUCCCUGCUGCUGGAGACUCCUACAAGAAGCUAUGGUUAGUGUCACUGACCUACACCCAGUUGCGCAUCAGCUUGCCUGCCAUGCUCAUUGGCUAACAGCACUCAGUUUAAGCUCUUAACCAGCUCUUAACCAAUGACCGAGAUCCUACGUGGCUGGGCUUAGCUCAAUUCCACGAGUUUCUGGUGGCAAGCUCCUGAAAAUUCACCCACUCCCUAAGUAAUAUUAGUCCUCAUAUAGGUCUGCCAUUUACCCCAUUUACCCCAACCCUCCCAAAUUAGAAUCCCUUAUGUACCCUUUUCUCCUCAAUUCACAUCAUGACAUAGCUUCCAAUUAACAUCUUUCAGGUUCUCUGUGUGCACCCUUUUAAAAUGGUUUUCAGCUACUUCUGCUCUUCACACUUACAAAGUGAGUCACACAACACUCACAGAUAGGGGCACACAGUCAUACACACACUGCCCUCAGUCACAUAUGGUCAUAAAUUCAUAUACAUAACAAUUAUAUUCUUGCGGUUAAAUAAAAUCACAUAAAAUCAGAAAUAUUCUCAUACACAUAUAAACAGUGACUUACACACUCACAGAUAUACACCUAUAGACAUACUCAUAGAUGCACAAAAUCACACAAACACAUUCAGAUACAGACUAACAAUUAGUCAGUCACACAUUUAUACUCACAGAGACAACACACUCACAUUCACACACCCCAGAUACCCAGUCACAGACCCAGAUACCCACUCACAAUCACAGACUCAGAUACCCAGUCACAGUCACAGACCCAGGUAUCCACUCACAGACAUGGGCGUCCACAGAAAUUUUUUUUUGGGGGGGGGAGAAGGGCAUAAUUGUAAUGACAUCCAUGCUUGGUCCCUUUUUGACAGUGUCAUGAAAGGGAAGGGGCAUAGUCAUUAUCACAGCCAGGGUGAAUAGCGGUUUCACAACUGUGGUGUCAGGAAUUCAUGUUUGUAUUCCUGACACUAUAGUGUUCCUUUAAGCAAAUUGAAGGAACAUUCUGGUCACCAUAACAACUUCAUCUAAAUGAAAAUGCUAUGAUGCCAGGAAGCCCAUGGGUGCUCAUUCCUUUAAGGGGUUAAACCACUUUCAAAUGGUUUAACCCCAAAGGCUUCCUCCAGCUCCAGAUCUCCAGGUCACUCAGUGUUAUUCGGCUUCUGAAACAGAGUGUCAGGAAGUGCAGAUUGACAUCAGGCAUGGGUGCUGCAGAUUGGCUAGAGUGGUCAGCUGACACUCUAAGCCAAUCGCUAGUUCCCGGUUCAUAAAAAAGUUUUACUUUUUUAUGAAUGGGGAGCUACUGAUUGGCUAAGAGUGCAAGCUAACCGCUCUAGCCAAUCUGCGACACCCCUACCCAGCGGCACUCUGUGUUUCUGGAUACUCAGUAAAUAAAAGUGAACACAUUAACAUUGAUAUUUUUUUUUUUUAACCUGGGGAGAUGAGAAGGUCAAAUGUUUCCCUGCUCAUUUAUGUUCCUUCUCCAACUUUACCUUUGUGCUCCUUCUGUUCCUUGCUGCCCUUUCCAGCUCCUUGCUGACCCUUUCUGCUCCUUCCACUUUACCUUUGUGCUGCUUUAACUUCCAGCUCCUUGCUGCUUCUUGCUGACCCUUCCUGUUCCUUGCAGCCCCUUCCUGCUCAUUUCUGUUCCUUUGUGAGCCUUGAUGUCCCUCCCUCCUACUUUACCUUUUGUGCUCAUUGCUGUCCCUUCCAGCUCCUUGCUGCCACUUUCUGCUCCUUGAUGUCCCUCCCUGCUUAUUUCUGUUCCUUCUCCUUUCUGCUCCUUGCUCACCCUUUCCUGUAGGCUCUCUCUCCACCUCCCUGAUCUAUAGGCUAUCUCUCCCCCUCCCUCACUUCCCUGAUCUAUAGGCUAUCUCUCCCCCUCCCUCACUUCCCUGAUCUAUAGGCUAUCUCUCCCCCUCCCUCACUUCCCUGAUCUAUAGGCUCUCUCUCCCCUCCUUCCCUCACUAACCUGAUCUGUGGGCUGCCCCCCACCCCUCACUUACCUGAUCUGUAGGAUGUCUCUGGCUGCACAUGCUGUUCCUCUGUGGAUUCAGUCAGUAGAGAGAAGCAGGGAUAAGAUGUAGCUUCCUAUCCCUGUCUCUCUCCAUACACUCUCUCCGCCACCUACUGGCCGGCGCCGGUAUUGCACUGUAUUUUCAAUCUCACACGAAAAAUAGCAGAACAAGCUGAAAAAUCCAAAGGAGGGGGGCAAGUGCCCCCCCUUUCCCCUUCCUGCGGACGCCCAUGCUCAGAGACCCAGAUUCCCAGUCACAGACCCGGGUACCCACUCACAGUCACAGAACCAGAUACCCACUCACAGCACACUGUAAGAUCACUCUAAGCACACUGAUCUCUUGUGGCUGAGUGCCACUAUUUCCACUUCCUUUCUGCCCUAUAGCAUUCCUCACUGCAACAAGUAUUAUGUGUGUCGUUGCAGCUCCUAUCUAUAGGAGCUGGAGCCAGCCUUCAGAGUGGAAGCUUGUUUCCCACUCCCUCGUGGUCUGAUAACACGUGGUACCGUAUCAUGUAAUGAGAGGGCUGAUUGAGAGCAAGGGGGUGGAGCUUUGUAGAUAGCAGCCAAUUAAAAUACUACAGAGCUGUUACAAUGCCUAAGGGAGGUCCUGCAGCAUUCAGGAUUUGAUAGUGUCCCGUAGCAGCAUCACUGCUGUUCCAAACACCGAGUUACAUAGUGAGUUACAUAGGAACAUAGAAAUAUAGAAUGUGACGGCAGAUAAGAUCCAUUCGACCCAUCUAGUCUGCCCAAUUUUCUAAAUCCUUGCAUUAGUCCCUGGCCUUAUCUUAUAGCUAGGAUAGCCUUAUGCCUAUCCCAUGCAUGCUUAAACUCCUUCACUUUGUUAACCUCUACCAACCUCUUCAGCUGGAAGGCUAUUCCAUGCAUCCAAUACCCUCUCAGUAAAGUAAUACUUCCUGAUAUUAUUUGUAAACUUUUGCCCCUCUAAUUUUGUUGUGAGUUGUGAGGAAUGGCUGCUGUGUGCGCAGUUGUGCUAUCGGUGUUCGGUCCGAAAUAUUUAAAAAUCGAAGUCUCUGGCCAGAUGUCAGAGAUUUGGAUUUUGCGCACCCUUUUUGUGGUGCCCAAAGGCAUGCAUAUCUAUGAAGAGUUGUUGAUUGGCGCAGCUCUGCAUUUUGCUGCGCAUGCGCAAUAGCCUCCCAAUGCUGGGAGCAAGGCAGGACAGUUGUGGCAAUGGAGUAAAGUUAAGUAAAACAACCUUUUAUCUUCAAUCUGAGGGAGGAGUUCCUUGAAACUGUGAAUUGUUGGGAAUUGACUGGAUAAUUUCAGAUUUUCUAAGCCAGCCAAUUCUCAAAAAGUUCCACAGAACUAUUUACGAAAGUGAGAAUUGUAGAUUAUGCUAACGUAGUGUACCUAUAAUCUUAAUUUGAGCAAUGACAGGAGGCGAGUAUUUGCAUAACUUUCUUUACUAUAAAUCUCCAGCAGCACAGAUUAAUCAAGUAAGUUUAAACCAAUCAAAAAUAAGUAACAUCCCAUAUAUAAGAUAGGCCAGCCCUCAAUUCUUCCUCUUUCUUUGAUGUGAAUGGAGAUGGUCAAUUUAACAUGAACGAACAACUGAUGAACUUGAUAAACGUCCAGUUAAGUCCAGAAACCAAUUUCUUUGACAGACGAAAUUUGUCCACCUGGUAUUACAUGAUAUUUCAUACUGAAAAGACGAAGAAACAAGUGAAAGGAACUUGUAGUGAACAUGUAAUACAUAUACUGUGAACAAUACCCAUUAUAUUAAUAAAUUUGACUCUAGCUAUACAAAUAGGUAAAUAUCUAAGUAUAAAGACAGUACGCAAGUAAUUAUAAAUGUACUCAUAUACCUUCUGAUAAUACGUAUCAAGUAUAUAAAACAACCAGACCACGGAAAAUCGAGACAAAUAUGAGAGGGGGGAGAGGGGUAAGAAGUAAGGGAGGGAAAUACUUGCCUCCUGUCAUUACAAAAAUGAAGAUUAUAGGUACACUACGUUAGCAUAAUAUACAAUUUUACCGCAUGAUAGGAGGCUUCAUAUUUGCAUUUUUAAGGCUAAUCAAGAAGAGAAAAAGUAGCAUGAGAUGCAGGAAGAAAAUAGAAAACUUGAAACGUAUCUUCCAGAGACCAAUCCGCCGAUCGCAUGAUGUCGGAGAAAGAGGCACCCAACAUAAAAGCGUGUGUAGCCGCCACGCCCUGUACGGAAUGCGCUCCGAAAGAUGCCUCGAUGACUGCCAAUGAUAGUAUCCAACGUACCCAUCCUGCCUGAGUAGUCAUAGACACAGGUUUGUGUGGCAUAAGACACGAGAAGUUGACCUGAUUGAGAACCCCAUAUACGUUCAAUAAUUUCUACGUAGCGCAUCAACGUCCUGACCACACAAAAGUGUGGGGCCGUAGGAAAAAAUGGGCAAAAGACCGCCGCCGAAUUUAUCUUAAUACGUUUUGUGACCGAAAAUGAAGCCCCCUCCAGGGUAAAGGAUAAACUGUUUACAUCAAAUGCCCUAACGUCCGCUACCGAAUGAAAAGAUACCAAACAAAGUAACAGUGUGAGUUUCGCCGAGAGUUGGUGCAAGCACAAAGAUGUAUUGUCUGGCCAGUUCCACAAAAACUGCAUUACCACCUCACCAUCCAAGAGUCGGGAGUAUUUCGGUGUUGGUGGGCGUGAUAAGCGUAUACCUCUAAGUAGUUACCUGAUCAAUGGAUCUUGACCCAGUGGGAGACCCUAAACCAGAACGUGUGAAGCCGAGAUCAUGAACAUUGAUGGAUUGAUAUGAAUGUCCUAAGGAAAAGGAAUGUGAUCAAAAAUGUAAGAUCAUAGGAACAGGUGUUGUAAAGGGAUCAGAAUCCCUCUCCAAACACCAGCUAGACCAUUUGCUUCAGGCUGCGAGAUGACAGUGUCUGGUGCCAGGUGCCCACGAAUCCCAUAAUAGAUCCUGUUGACCAGGAUCCCCAUGAAUCUUCCAGGCUACUAGUUCCAGAUGUUCUUGUAGGACGAGGGGAUGAAGUUCCCCCCAUGGGUCAGUCAGCAGAAGUGGAAAGGACAGUAUGAGGAGUGGAUGGUCGCACUAUAGUUCCAGAAGAUCCGGGAACCAAUGUUGGCUUUGCCAUAGCGGUGUCAGUAAGAGUAAGGAGCAUCCUUGAGUCCGUACCUAGUGGAUCACCCAUGCCAGUUCUGUGUCGGCCAGUUCUGGAAAAAUGCGUCCACCGCUUCGCAUUCCGGGUCUGGUAGCCAAGUGAAGAACAUGUGAAGUUGUCGAUUGUUUCAAGAUGCAAAGAGGUCUAUAAUCAGUGGACCCCUGAGAUUGAAUAGAAUAUUGAAUAUCGUUGAGUUGAGAUGCCAGUCACUGCCAUCCCUCCAAUGCUGGUAGUACCAAUAUGCUGUGAGGUUUUAGGUUCCCAGUAGGUAUUCCUCUUACAGCGUGAUAUUGCGGGAGAGGCAGAAACUGAAGAUGUCUUUGGUUGCCUCUGCCAGAGCCUGGGAUCGAGCUCCUCCCAGGAGGACUUCCGAAAUGUUGUCUAUGCGUAGCAGUAUGCAGCAGUUGGACAUGUGACUGGCCAUAACGCAUAUGGCAAAAGAGCCUGCUAUCAACUCCAAGCAGUUAAUGUGCAAGUCCAUUUCCUCUUCUAACCAAGGACCCCCUGUAGAGGAUACUGCACAAUGAGAUCCCCAGCCCCAUAGGCUGGCGUCGGAUUCAAUCAUGAAAUCUGGUGUGGGACCAAAUAUGGCUUUCCCAUUCCAGGCUUGCAUGUGGAGGAGCCACCAACAAAGUUCCGUCCAAACUUUGGCCGUGAGGGGAAUCAGGUGAUCGUAAGACAGUCUGGAACGCAAAGAGCGUCCUUUCAAACAUUGCAUGUCUCUGUAGUGCAGCGGUCCCAGAUAUAUCACUUGUAUGGAGGCCGAUAAGUGUCCCAUAACUCGUGCUAGGAGGAAUAACGCAAAGUGAUCCAUGCAAAUUUCUUUCCUCGUGGCAGCAAUCUUCUUGAUCGGCAGUCUGAGCGUACAGAAGGUUGAAUCUAUUUCGAACCCCAGAAACUGGACCACUUGAGAGGCUAUCAGUGCGGACUUGUGUUGAUUCACCAUGAAGCCCAGGGAUUCGAGGAAGUCCACAACCAAUUUUGUCAGCGAUCUGAGUAGUGACGGUGUGUCGCAAAACAGUAGCAAAUCGUCCAAGUAGAUGAUAGAUCUUAUGCCUAUAGAUCAAAAAUGGGCCAAGAUUGGCUUCAGGAAUUUUGUGAAACACCACAGGGCCUAGCUGAUUCUGAAUGGGAGGCACGUGAAUUGACAUGUUUGACUGUGACAUCAGAAGCGUAGGAACUUGCAGCAGGAUGGAGCCACUGGUACCGAAAGGUAAGCGUCCUUGAGGCCCAAUCAAGUGAACCAGUCGUCCUUUAGGAGUAGAUUGUGAAGCAGAUGAGACGUCAGUCACUGAAGCAGAUCCCUUCCAUCUUGAAGUGAUGGUAUACCACAAAGUAGUUGAGUUGCCGCAGGUUGAUGAUGGGACGAAAGUCUCCUGUCUUCUUCUGAACCAAGAAUAUGUUGCUGAAGAAGCUGCCGUCUUCCUGCACAUGUUCUACUGCGCCUUUGGAGAAAAGGGUUCGGACUUCAUCGUUGAUCAGUGACUCAUUGUCUUCGGAUGUACGCACGGGUGGUGGGUGUUCUUGGUACGGUUGUGUAUGAAAUUUGAUCAUGUAUCCUCGUACCGUCUGUAGGAUCCAGGCAUCCGAUGAGAUAUCCUCCCAUUUCUGCAAAUAAAGGGAGAGUCUGUCUGCAGUCAAAGUAGAGACAUUGGUAUGAGGGUUUGGACUCACCUUUGGAGGGAAAAUGUCCUCGUCCUCUUCCCCGGUAACCUUUGUCUCUGUCUGCACCUCUGUAGUAGUUUUGUAUCCAUGAGGUUGAUGUCGGGUAGAACGAUGCCAAAGGAGGGUUUGGCUUGGAGCCCGAAUUCCAGAAUUGGCUGGUGGCACGGCUCCUCUGCCGACCAGCCUGCCUCAAAACACCCCGGCCUGUCUCAGCGAUGACUGCGCAUUAUUUAGACGUGUUUCUUCAGUUUGGUGAUAAAAGAGUCACCAAAUAGUUGUCCGUUUGCAUUGUUUCCUAACUCUUUGUGUGUCAUAUUGAUGAGCCUUGCAUCAAUUCGGCUGAGAGCCAUCUUGUGCCUUUCCGUACACAAUGCAGCGUUGACAUUGCCCAUCAUACAUAUGCAGCAUUGUGCCCAUACUCUGAUUGCGCUGGGAUAAAGUUGGGUUCCCUUUGAUAGGGCCAGAUCUGCGAAGUAGAGGAUUUUUGCGAUAGGGCCCAUCAGGUCCAGCAGUUUGUCCUAUGUCACUUCGAGGCCCUUCUCCACCCCUUUACAAGGGUCAUGGCCGGUUCUUGGCAUAAACACCACGACUGUCUGGUCAAACUCGGGUGUCAACGCUAUUUUGUCUGGCAGAAUUGGGCAUGGGCAUUCAGCUCUCAUGCGGGUGCGUAUCCUGCGCUCUAGGGGCUUGUGUAGAUAGUAGUGGACAAAUUUUGUGUGGUCCAGUGAGUCCAGUGUCUCCUGGGUGAAGGACUCUCCACCAUAUGAUACUUUCACAUAUUUAGAAUCAGAAGCAGGAAUGUCUAGCCAGUUACUCUCAUCUUCUGAUUCUGAGGCGUCUGCACACCAUUCAUCAAUGACAUCUAGAGCCGCUGAGGGGUAGGUCUCAUCAUCCUCUGAGGAUAGCACUGUUGGGGUUGCUAGAGAAUGAGUGGCAUGCUUACUGCAUUUAGCAGGAGUUAAUGGAAUAUAUUCGAAGCUUGGACUUGUCACCAGUGGGGUACCCCAGGGUUCUGUACUUGGACCCAUUCUCUUUAAUAUUUUUAUUAGUGAUAUUGCAGAAGGUCUUGAUGGUAAGGUAUGUCUUUUUGCAGAUGAUACUAAGAUAUGUAAUAGGGUUGAUGUUCCAGGAGGGAUAAGCCAAAUGGCAAAUGAUUUAGGUAAACUAGAAAAAUGGUCAGAAUUGUGGCAACUGACAUUUAAUGUGGAUAAGUGCAAGAUAAUGCAUCUUGGACGUAAAAACCCAAGGGCAGAGUACAGAAUAUUUGAUAGAGUCCUAACCUCAACAUAUGAGGAAAGGGAUUUAGGGGUGAUUAUUUCUGAUGACUUAAAGGUAGGCAGACAAUGUACUAGAGCAGCAGGAAAUGCUAGCAGAAUGUUUGCUUGUAUAGGGAGAGGUAUUAGCAGUAGAAAGAGGGAAGUGCUUAUGCCAUUGUACAGAACACUGGUGAGACCUCACGGGUGAGACCUCACUUGGAGUAUUGUACACAGUACUGGAGACCGUAUCUCCAGAAGGAUAUUGAUACCUUAGAGAGGGUUCAGAGAAGGGCUACUAAACUGGUUCAUGGAUUGCGGGAUAAAACUUACCAGGAAAGGUUAAAGGAUCUUAACAUGUAUAGCUUGGAGGAAAGACGAGACAGGGGGGAUAUGAUAGAAACAUUUAAAUAUAUAAAGGGAAUCAACACAGUAAAGGAGGAGACUAUAUUUAAAAGAAGAAAAACUACCACAACAAGAGGACAUAGUCUUAAAUUAGAGGACAAAGGUUUAAAAAUAAUAUCAGGAAGUAUUACUUUACUGAGAGGGUAGUGGAUGCAUGGAAUAGCCUUCCAGCUGAAGUGGUAGAAGUUAACACAGUAAAGGAGUUUAAGCAUGCGUGGGAUAGGCACAUAGGCGUGCGCAGCCUAUUGCAUUAGGGUAUGCACCCUACAGCACAAACACACGCCGCGUGUGUGUGUGUGUGUGUGUGUGUGUAUGUAUCUAUCUAUCUAUCUAUCUAUAUAUGUAUAUAUAUAGAUAGAUAGAUAGAUAGAUACAUACACUGCUGUGUGUGCUGUUAGUGUGAUGUGUGUGUGAGGGUGCUGUUAGUGUGAUGUGAGGGUGUUUGUGUGUGUGUGUGUUUGUGACUGUGCUGUUUGUGUGUGAGGGUGUUUGUGUGUGUAUGUUUGUCCUGUGAAGGUGCUGUUUGUGUGAGUGUCAUGUAUUUGUGAGGGUGCUGUUUGUGUGUGUGUGUGAGGGUGUUGUGUUUUUUUAAAGGUGCUCUGUGUGUUUGUGAGGGUGCGGUUAGUGUACUGUGUGUGUGUGAGCUGUAUGUGUGUAGGUGCUGUAUGUGUGUGUGCUGUAUGUUUGGAGGGAUUUGGCAGAUUAGUAAAUCCUUGCUGCCAUGUGCCAUCCCUGGUGGUCCAGUGGAGAGUGAACUCUAGCCUGCGGGGCUAGAGUUAACUCUCGCGAGAUCUGAGCGUUGCCGCAGCAACACUCAGAUAUCGCGAGAGGAACCUGGCGGAGCUUCUGUCUAGAGCUCCCUGGGUCCUCUCCUGCCUCCCUCCAUGCUGCUGUGGGCCGGUGAGGUAGAUCUUUGGUCUCCCCGCCGGCCCAUGGAGGCUUAGAGCAGAGCCGGCACUCAGAUAGCGCCGGCUCUGUGUGUGUGUGUGUGUGUGUGUAUAUAUAUAUGGGUACACACACACACACUCACAGACACAUUCAGACACACACACAUACAUACACUCACAGAUACACACACACUCACACAGACAUACACAUUCAAAGACACACACUCACAGACACACACACACUCACUGACACACUCACACAUACAUACAUACACUCACACACAUACAUACACUCACAGACACACAGACACACACACACUCACACAGACACACACAUACACUCACACACAGACACUCACACAUAAGAACAAAUUAUUACAUUUUAAUUUUAAAAAAAUGUCCACCCAGCCUCCUACCUGGAGUGCUGGCGUGGACUUGUCGCUGGGGUCCAGUGGGGCGGGCGCCUUUCUGCAGCUCAGCGCGCGGCGAGGGAGCUGUGUGCUGUCUGCUUUCUGCUUCCUCUCGCCGCGCGGGCUGUCUGCUGUAGCUGGGAGCCGGAAUAUGAUGUCAUUUUCCGGCUCCCGGCAUCAGCGCGCAGCGAGAGGGAGCAGACAGCAGACAGCUCCCUCGCCGCGCGCUGAGCUGCAGAAAGGUGGGGGGAUCCAUCACCUCUUGCCCCCCCAUGACAGGGGCAAGAGGUGAAACAGGGGGCGCUGAGUAACUGCAGGAACAGCGUUUCUGCUCAAAAAAAGUGCAGGAACGCUGUUCCUGCAGGACUCAAACCAUAGGCGUGCCACGGGGAUUAGGGUGUGCCCAGGCACACCCGGCACACCCCGUGCGCACGCCUAUGGAUAGGCAUAAGGCUAUCCUAACUAUUAGAUAAGUACAGGGACUAAUGAAAGUAUUUAGAAAAUUGGGCAGACUAGAUGGGCCGAAUGGUUCUUAUCUGCCGUCACAUUCUAUGUUUCUAUGUUUCUUCCCUGUCCCCUGAGCAUGUGGCAUGGGGAGGCUGACUCUUUGGCAUUUUGACAGGGAGUUGAGUUCCUUGGAAGGCGCCUCUCAGUUCAAAUUAUCUUCCACGUCAUGCGGUGUCGGCCCCAUAGCCUGUGUGGUUGGUGCAGGCGGAACUUGCAUUAGCAUUUUAAUUAUUGCUUUCUCCAUGGAUGCUACCACCACAGAAUAACUCAUUCCCUGAUAGUCUUGGCUUUGUGGAGCGGAAUCUGACAUGAUCACACUCAGUAUCGUCCUGUGGGAAAAGGACGUAUAUGUUAUUAUGCUUGCCUAAGCAAUGCCUGGUGGGUAGACCCCUAGCGCAGGCCAAUUGGGGGUAGCCUGGUAUCAGGUAUCCUAUUUGGUCCCCUCUAGAGACUAUGUAAUGCAGGCUCUUGUUUAAAUACCAGUCGUAUUGAGCGGUUGAUAGUAUAAGGGGAGUACCCUUGUAAUCGUGUGGAAGGGUCAGAGGCCUGAUCAGUCUCUAGUAAUAGGCCUUUGGCCCUGGAAUGACUGUUGGGUGCAUUUUGAAAGCAGGGACCACCCCUGCGUGCAGCUGUGUCAGGCAGUCUAUGCACCAAGCGUACAGUCACAGGUUACGAUAUCAUAUUUACAACCCAUACAGUAUUAAUUUAAUAUCCAUGUUCAUUUCACAUCCAUGCUCCAUAAAUAGACAUGUCACUGUUGUAUACAGUUAGAGAAAGAGCAAUGAGACCUGAAACUUGUAGUAUAUUCAGCUCCUUUCAGUAAACUCUCUAUCUGUCUCAGGGAUGAGGAGGCUCUAUGUGUUUCACCAAAGUAAGUCUGGGCUUCCUGCCGUCACCUGGUACAUGCAGGGAAAAAAAAAGGGCCGCCGUGAAGCUCGGGUCCUCGCGAGAAGAACUCCCGCGGGUCCAAAUGAGAGAGUGAGGAGAGGGAGAAAGCUGUCGCUCAGACACCUGACCCCCGGUUAGUGUGUAAGGAGAAGGGAAAGGUCCCCACAAGAGGGAGGUGCCGCAGCGCGAUAGCCUGCCACGGCUGUUAGUUAGUAAGAGGAGUAGAUAUAGGGAUGAAGGGAGAUGAAGUUUAGUAAGGGGAACAUAAACCCCAAAAGGGGGAAUAAAGACCUCUAGAAGUAGUGAGAAAACAGGUGACAGGCAAAGCACCAAAGUAUAAUAUAUACAUCAGCAAUAAUAAACAAUGUAAGAAAAUAUUAUCAGGAACAAGUACUCUGACCUGUGCCUCUACUUGGAGCAGCAAAGAAAGAGGAAGAAUUGGGGUCUGGUCUAUUUUAUAUAUAUAACAACAGGAAGGUGUGAAAUAAUGGCGCUCUAAAUAGUUAUCUCAGUAAUACUAUUUUAGCUGCUGAAAAACACUCUGUGGGAACUCCCAAAAAAAUCACACACAAAUAAGAAUUACCAGAAACACAUAUAACUUCAAGUAUGGUUAGUAGUUUUACCGACUUUCAGUCUGAGUGCAGCACUAUAUAUCAGUAUAGUCUCUACCUGUCCAGUGAAAUACAAGUGAAAAGAUCAACACACUUACCCCCUAUAAGAUGUAUUCUUAGGGGGUUUUACAUGUUAAAAAAAAAAUACAAAAAGCUACAUAGUAUAACUCUGUGAGGUAUAGAGGAAUGAGUGUUAUUAGAUAUAAAGAGAUACACUCACGUUUUUUAGAGCCUUUUAUGGUAUAGGCUCUAAACUUUAGCGUGUCCGUGUCUAUUAAGGUCGACAACCACAACCCCUGUUAUGGCUUUCUCUCAGUUGUUAUCCACGAUAUACAUAGUGGGGUAAGGCAGAAUAGAAAAAAAUCUAGGUGUAUCGCUUUUAAUUGUGAAUCUUAAGGUGUAGAUAUAACAGAAAUGACUGUUCACCUUAUUUAGAGCCUUUUAUGAACUGUCUCUUAAUUUCCUUGUUUUGGUGUCAAAUUACAGGGUGACACCUCCCUUACAGGAACCAGGUAUAUGAUGCAGAUGGUAAUCUUCAAGCAAAAUGUAUUGUUUAACAAUUAAAAUAACACACUAAGAAUAUAUAACAAAAAAUAAAAGAGAAAUAUAUAUAUGAAGCUUGCCAAGACGCGUUUCGCCCAAAUUGCUGGCUUCCUUAGUUAGCCUAUUUUAUAUAUAGGAUGUUACUUAUUUUUGAUUGGUUUAAACUUACUUGAUUGAUCUGUGCUGCUGGAGAUUUAUAGUAAAGCAAGUUAUGGUCGUGGCAUCAAAAGCCGUAAUGAGCAUAUUAGAAGUAAUUAUGUAAGGUCCCUAUAUGAGAUCUAUAAUAAUAUGAAAAAGUCGGUUGUGGUGUGCCGGAACCGACAAAUGCGGUGGGCCUGUAAUAAAAAGAGUAUACCAUACAGAAUUAUAAAGCCUACAAAUCAGUACAUUUCAUAUACAUGUUCCAGAAGUCUUGGCAUAUUAAACAACAGGUUGAUGUGUAUAUCUGGAGUUAACAGAGGCCUCCAUUGUCUCAAAGUCCUAUUACAAUGUACCAAAUAUUAGGUAUGAUUGUCAGCACUGAUGUGGAAGGAGUGACCUGCUUAAAUAUGUGAAUCAAGACCUCAUCUGACCAUGCAGUAAAACCUGAGAUAAAGUCUGAAUUUACUUGUUGUUAGAGUAUUGUCGUGUAAGGAGCAGAUCAGGGGAACCUUGAACAGAGGUUAGGUCGUUAUCCAGAAUUAUUACUGACAGAAUUUAAAAUAUCAUUAGUAGUGUUAAAAUAUUUAAGUAAAAGGUGGCAAAAGAAGUAAAAUCGACCACUGUACUCAAGAAUCUUGAUUACAACAUAAAAAUCUAGCCAUUAUCGGUUAAACUGUAGACCCUCAGCGGAAAGCCAGUAAUGGAGAAUAAGAUAAGUGAUCAGUAACAAAGUUGUCAAUUCCAGGUAUAUGGUCAUAUAUUGAUAAAGUAGUAAUUAGCCGCUGACCAAGCCAGUAUUUACGAAGUGCACAUGACAAGAUGUGCUCGAGGUACAUGUAGAUACGUGAGAAGUGCCAUAGGUGAGCCAAAAUAAUUAAACGACCCUAGAGUUAUGACAUAGGAACCAAGGGUAACUUAAUUGUAUUUUACCAACUUAACAGUGAGUACAAUAGUGUGAAAUAAUGAACCAGAGCGUGAGUGUAUAUGUAUAUGCCUAUAUUUGCGUACACCCCCCCACUAUAUACCUAUGUAUAUAUCUACUUAUACAUAUAUGUAUGGUGUAUAUCGUGGUUAUCUACAGUUUGCGAGUCAGGCAUAAACCUGAUCCGGUCAGUGGCGACACCAGCUAUUGAGAUGAAUGACCGUAUAGAAACCGAUAUGCCUUUGUAAGGGGCUUAAUACCGUAAAAUAAAGAAGGCAUACUGUAAUACUAUGUCUAGAUGAGAAGCUGAAUUGUACUAGUAGUGAAAAUCGCCCUGAAUGAACAUAGCCACUUCCAUGUACGAGGGGGGGAAGUGGCUCAACCUAAAUAUCUAUCAUAAGAAGAUAUAUCUCAUCUAUCUGCGUGGAAUGCAUGUAAUCCUAAUUUACUUAUGAUGUAGACAGAUAGUCAAUAUCCUGUUGGAUAUCUUAAACGUACCGAAACAUGCACUGAAUAUUGAGUUAUGUAACGUAUGCUUAAAUGCGUGUGGAGGACUCUGAGAGGGUCAGCAUAAGGAGACAGCCCCUUGUAAAAGUCGAACUUCGAGUGUAUGUACCAGACUUUAAGGAGAACAGAGUGAGGUCUUAAAUUUACACAUGAAUGAAAUGUAAUGUUGAAUAUCUGAAACCCACUUAGAUAAGGCAACCUAGAUAUAUAUAUGUAUAUAUAUAUACACUACUGUAUAUAGCCAGCUAACAGCCUCUACCUGACUGGUAUUGAAAAUAUAGACCUAUAUAUGUUACUGAUAACCAAAGCUACUGUGUGUACCUAAUAUAGUUCAUCACAUGAUGUUCUAAUCCAGUGUAAUUGGACAGAGGGAACUUACAAAUACCUAAUAGUACCAGCCACGUAACUUACACACAUUUAAUUUUACUGGCUUCACAUAUUAAUGCCAGAGUUAAUUAAAUCUGCUCAAUAUGAUUAUACAACAGAUAGGAUUCCAAUACUAGACACAGUUCUCAUACUAAGCUAUCGCCUCCCUACUAAAAGCCCAUUUAGCGGUACCCAUAUAUGAAAAAUAUGUAUAUAUGUGGUUUGAUCAUUUGGUUUAUAAAGCUGUGCUGGUACCUUAUGUACCAUUCAAAGGUCCUGCUAUGAUGGCAGAUAUAGUCCAAGAUCUAAUAGAAGUAGGACUAGCCAUGUCCCUUGUGUGACGUAUCAGACUUAGUAGGAGUGCAGUGCAGGGACAGGAAACUCCAUCUUCCUGUCGCAGAGAUAUGUUAAACAGCAUGAAGCAGUUAUGUGUACCCAUACAACAUACUGGCUUGCCAGCUAUUGUCAAGUGGCGAAACUUUUAAACAAGUUGGUGACAGGUGAGGCCCUGCUAGAUGUCAAGCAGCUUGAGAGGCUCUAUCUAUGCGUUGGCGCGUGGGGAUUACGUGGCCUCCAAACUUGUGGCGGGUGUCGGCCUCUCUGUGAUUUAUAAAGCAUAAGAUAGAAUGAGAAUGACAGGUAAGGCCCUCUCUAUGCCACCACGUGAGGCGACUAACUAUAAGUUGGGCCGAUGGGUGUAAUACCUUAUAGUGAUACAGUUCCACACAAUAGAUUAGUGUUCAAACUCAAGGAAAUCGUUCUAGAUGAAAAUGCUUGUUAUUGGGUAGAACAUUGGCUUAAAAACAGAGUACAAAGAGGUGUCAUUAAUGGUAAAUUUUCAAGCUGGACAGAGGUGGCAAGUGGUGUCCCUCAGGGGUCUGUUCUGGGAUCCCUUCUAUUUAACAUGUUUAUAAAUGAUCUUGAAGACAGCAUUGAAAGUCAUGUUUCAGUGUUUGCAGAUGACACAAAACUCUGUAAAAUAAUACAAUGUGAGCAAGAUAUUCCUUUGCUGCAGAGGGAUCUAGAUAGACUGGGGGACUGGGCACUCAAAUGGCAGAUGAAAUUUAAUGUUGAAAAAAGCUAAGUUAUGCACUUCGGCGUAAAGAAUACAGAAGCAAACUAUACCCUUAAUGGAAGUAAAUUAGGGAUAACACACGAAAAGGACUUGGAAUUGUUAUAGACAACAAACUAUGUAACAGUGUGCAAUGUCAAUCAGGAGUGGCCAAGGCCAGUAAGGUAUUGUCAUGCAUGAAAAAGGGCAUUCAUUCUCGGGAUGAGAAUAUCAUUUUGCCUCUUUAUAAAUCACUGGUAAGACCACAUAUUGAAUAUGCUGUGCAAUUUUGGGCACCUGUUCUAAAGAAGGAUAUUAUGGCACUAGAAAAAGUGCAGAAGAAAAGGUUAACAAAUUUAAAACCUAUUUAGUUUAGAAAAACGUCGCCUGAGAGGGGAUAUGAUAACAUUAUACAAAUAUAUUCGGGGCCAAUACAAACCAUUGUGUGGAAAUCUAUUCACAAACCGGACUUUACAUAGGACACGCAGGUCGCAUGCUUAGACUGGAAGAAAGAAGAUUUCGCCUAAGGCAAAGGAAAGUUUUUUUACUGUAAGAACAAUAAGGAUGUGGAAUUCUCUGCCUGAAGAAGUGGUUUUAUCAGAGUCCAUACAGAUGUUCAAACGGCUACUAGAUGCAUACUUGCAAGAACAGAAUAUUCAAGGAUAAAAUCUUUCAAUGUAGGGUAAUAACUGCUUGAUCCAAGGAUAAAUCUGACUGCCAUUCUGGGGUCAAGAAGGAAUUUUUUUCCUAGCUUGUUGCAAAAUUGUGCUUCAAACUGGGUUUUUUGCCUUCUUUUGGAUCAACAGCAAAAAUCAAAUGUGAGGAAGGCUGAACUUGAUGGACGCAAGUCUCUUUUCAGCUAUGUUACUAUGUAACCUCCGAGUAUGAGGAUGGUUGUUGGCCUCGCGGGACCACUAACGUAAGACCGAGUCCUGAGAAAGUAUAAGCUAUCGGGCUCCUGGUGUCCUGCCAGCCAGUAAUGAAACUAACUAAGGGAGGCAGGGUAAGAUAUCGAAUGAGUAUGUGUAAUUUGACGUAUCUGAGAACGAGUAAUCAGAAAUGCGGUAUAACUCAGAAGGUGGAUUGGCGCAGACCUACAUUGGGAACGAAAUAUAGUAGGAAUUGUGUUAUGGCAUGUAAAAGUAGAUAUUCAAUUCUGCCUAACAGUAUAUGUUGUGAAGUAAUGGUCAGCCAUUACAUAGGAGGUUGUGCAGUAAAUCAUGGAUACCUAGAAUCGAAUGAUACAAUGCUGUAACGUAAAUAAGUGAGAUGUAAGGCCAGUUUGUGGAUUCAUAGAUAAAGGGUUAUAUAUACACUACACAAAAACGUAUAGCUGGAAGAAUUCCCUGGUGUACCUCACAGACACCCGAGAACAAUGUACAAUAGUAAGAAAGUGGAAAAACACCCAGAAUACGUGUAAAUUAAUAUAUAAAAUAUGCAACAACCUGAUGGAAAAUGUAAUCCAUAUGAAUUCUGUAUAAAAAAAUCAGAGAUCCAACAUAGCGUAAUACAGUAAAAAAACUUAGCAAUAUAUAGAUAUAGGUGAUUGUAGAUACACUCACAAACACACGUGGAAUAUGGCUUCUCGCCCACUCGGGAGCAAAUAUAUGAUGGUGAUAAGACUGGAAAAUCCUCUCAAUGGAACAUAUGGAAAUAAAGGAAAUCACAGAUAGUGAAGUAUGUUGUAAAAAUACAAAAUCACAAUUUAUUGGUCACACUUACAUGUGUGUAUAGCACAAAGAGCAUGUCUCUCAGUAACCUUGAAACUCCAUGCAGUAUGGUCCUCAAUCCAAAAUACAUAUGUAUGGACUUUAUUUCCAUAUUGUUAUUUUAUAUUGUUUUUAAUCUGUAUAUAUCUGUAUUUUUGGCUGCUCUUUGAUAACCCCUCCUGCCACUUCCUAUUUUGGAUUGAGGACCAUACCGGUUUUGAAUUGACAGGUCUAAUGAGUAACAGAAUACUUCAACGUAAUGACAGCCAGAAGCACUAACAACUGAAUUAUGCAAAUGAUCCCUAUGCCGAUAAAACUUAAAAACAUGAGCUAAGUACAUAUAAUAAAGCAGGAAUACAUACAUACUUAAAAACCCUAUCACUCCAUACCACCAUGAUACCCAUAAACCAUUUAAAUAUUAUAUCAAUUAAAACCUAUUUAGCGAGCAUAUACUUUAACCGAUUGAUACAUCCAUUGACAGACAUGAGAAUUGAGUGGUUCGUAUAGUAUGUCCAGUUCAUGUCUGCUAAUUAGUACCUAAAGUACUAGUGUUAGUGAGGUAGUGCAGCUGACUUUGACCGAAUUGAGAAGGAUAAUUUGAAACGCGGGCGUUUCUAUGUAAAUCGUAUGUGAAUUGCAGAGUCUCAUUGCUGUUCAUGUGUUUGGGCGGCUUUCGUUUAAAUUUAUGCAUUAGUUCAUAAGAAUUAGGUAAAGUAUUUUGUGGUGUUAGAUAAUGGAACAAGUGAAAUGUGCGUAUGACAAUUUAAAUGCCGAACGAAGCGCAUGAGUCCCGAAAGGCUAGGUUACUCACGAUUGUCAGUCUCCCACUGGCGGGCUCUGAGGGGUCCAUUCGCAGGACGAACAACGAUAUUUACAGCAGUCAGUUUGUUUGAACCAAAUCGUUUGUGAGAACCAAAACGUUCGAGAAAAACAUGGGAACUUCUCCCGAGGUUGGUUCUUUACCGCCUUGACCAGGAUGUGGACCACCAAGACUACGGCUCCCUUCGAAAAUACAGCUACAGGUAGGGGAGGACCAGGUAAUCGUUCCCCUGUGUAGAAGGUAAGUAUAAUGGUGAUUUGCAGCGACCGGACGUCACAUCAUGCAAAUCGCCAGAAUGAACAAUAAUGGGGAGCGGUCUGGCAUCCAUAAGAAGGGAAAUCAAGCCCCUCCCAUGACUUCAGGUCCAGCAUUCCAUUUAUGCAAAUAUGAAGCCUCCUAUCAUGUGGUAAAAUUCAAGGUGAAUUCAAAGUGAAUGUCAAACUAAAAGACAGAGGAACUGAAAUGAUGAGUAUGAGAAGAACUAUUUUAUAACAUUAACUUCCAAAUCAAAUAUUUUCCCAUGCAACUAAUCAAAUAUGUAGGAAAAACACAAUAUGUGUGUACACAAACCAAAAAAUGCAAUUAGUACAAAAUAAGAUAUUAGCAGACAGAAACUUCCCUGUUCAAGAUGAAGCUUCCAAAGGUACCCCCAAAGACUUUCUCCUGUCUUCCACAAAAUAUAUGCAAAAAUAGGGGAUGAUCUGCUAAGCCAAUAACAAAUAGGAAAACAUAUCAUAUAAUUGUGAAUAUGAAUAAACCACAAGUGUUGUGUUCUCAAAUGGCCACUCACAUAUUCACUGAAAUCCAUGGUGAUUUGAAUACAGAGUGAAGCUUGAAUCCUUGGAAGGAAUUUAUACUAAAGGCACUUCAACUUCAGUGAAUACGUGAGCGACCAUUUGAGAACACAACACUUGUGGUUGAUUCAUAUACACAGUUAUACGCUAUGUUUUCCUGUUUGUUAUUGGCUUAGCAGAUCAUCCCCUAUUUUUUGUAUAUACAACUAAUCAAAUAUGUUGGCAAAUUGUGAAAAAUUACCUUGGUUGUAUCCUAUGAGGGUAAAAGCAUAUGCUUUAGGGAAACAUCUGUAUUUUAUGACAUCCAACUAUUUUCAUACAAUGUACAUAUGGGAAAGGACAAACAAAAAAGUUGGUGUAAGAGCAAAUACAACAAGCAAGGGUUACCAUUUUGACUAGAGAAAGCUCCCUUUCAAUAUGAAGUUGCAAUUAAAAAUAUAAUAGAUGGAUUGUUCUUAGCGUCACUUUCACUUGACAGACUCUUUCUUUAUUUUUAUUAUAGCUCUUCCUCAGUUUGCCAACCUUUUCCCCUGGAAAGGACAUGUUGAUGUAAUGCCUGGUGGUACAAUACAUGUAGUUGGAGAUCUGUGAUGUUCACCUGGAGCAUGCAUGCAUGAGAGAUCUAUGAUACAGAGUUAAGAUAUAGUGUCAUUACUUUGCAGAACUGUUAUUGUAUCAUUCACUUGCACUUCAGCCUCACUGGUGGAACAAAAGAGUGUUAAUGCACCUCCAACCUUUUGAUUACCAGUGAAUAUAUAUAUAAAUCCCUUGUGAUUAGUGCACUGCUGCUUUCAAACUAAACUAGUUUUAUUUUUGUGUCCCAGGCUCCCAGCUUGUGCAAGGGCUGAAAUAGGGAUCCUGCUUGGCAUCGUCUAAAGAAAUACAAGAAUGCAGAUUUAAUAAAAGUAAUGCACCACAAUUGUGGGGAACCCCUGUUCUGUAUAUGGACUUGUCUUUGUGUUACUAUGCCUUGACCUCUUGAAUAACAAAUAGUAAAUCACAAAAGGGAAGAGCCACAGGCUGCACAGCAUAGGGUGAACCAGAUAGUUCUAUUGUGGAAUACAGGUCAAAACAAGGAUUUAGCGUUCAAGUAUAUGCAAUAAAAGGACCACUAUAGGCACCUAGACAACUUCAGCUCAAUGAAGUGGUCUGGGUGCCAGGUCCCCCUAGUUUUAACCCUGCAGCUGAAAACAUAGCAGUUUCAGAGAAACUGCUAUGUUUAUACUGCAGGGUUAGUCCAGCCUCUAGUGGUUGUCUCCCUGACAACCACUAGAGGCGCUUCCGCGAUUUACACAGAGUAAAUCACACCUAUUUGACGUUGGACGUCCUCACGGACCUCCAGUGUCAAAAAAGAUCCCCAUAGGAAAGCAUUGGGUAAUGCUUUCCUAUGGGUGGAUUUGAAUGCGCGUGCGCCUCUGGCCGGGCAUGCACAUUCAGCUCCACUCGGGAGCUGAAGUUGAUGAAGGAGCCCGGCGCUGGAUUAAGGUAAGCAAAUAAAUGGUUAAUUAACCAUUUACCUGCCACAGAAGGGGCCCUAGUCACUGUUCAGGUGACUAGGGCUCUAUAGCGUUAGGAAUACAUAUUUGAAUUCCUAACGCUAUAGUGUUCCUUUAAGGCCUCACAGCCAAAACAUUGCUUCCUUGUUUUGUCCUGUAUUCCAUAAUAAAACUAUCUGGUUCACCCUACACUGUGCAGCCUUUGGGCCUUCACUUGUGGAUAAUAUUUGGAGGUUAGCGGACCUCUACCAUAGAACUGUGGUGCUACUGAUACUGGUGUGCAACACUCUACUACUUGUUUAAAUAGUGAAUGACAUUUUAUGUCUCCAUUCUGAACACCACUUCAAACCUAGUGUUCACUCCUGUAUGCAUUUAUACUUCGCCGAUAGUUUGGCUCCAAUCAGUAGCUGGAAGUAUUAUCUUCAACCACUGACAAUGAAUUUGGCUAGCUAAAAUGAAAGAAAGCAAGAUUAAAAAAAAUAAAACACAAUGCAAAGCAGGACAUUUUUAGAAGAAUAAAGAAAACGCAUCUUUAAUGCUGAUUAGGAUUUGCAAAAUUGUGAUGCUGUUUCUUACUUAAAGUGCGCAACACUCUUCAGUGAACAUCUAAACAGUACACUCCAUGGAAAGAAAAUAAACAUUCAUAUAGACAUUAAUAACAUAGCACAGCAAGGACAAUUGUAUCAAUGAAGAGAACUAGACCUUAUUGUAAAUGAAGUGUUUCUGUCCUUUUAGAUCAUUAUGUGCUCAUCACUUUGCUAUACAUGUCUGUUUCUAUUAUCUGAACAGCUGUCUCAUACUCGAUAACUGCUUCGCACUUGUAUAAAUUUCAGUGUGUUGUAUUAGAGCACAUCUCAAAUGACUUUUUUACAUGACCAAUUGUCUUUUAAUGCUGCAACAUAAUGAUAGGCUGGAAAUAACUAAAUAGAAUGUUUGGGGAAUUUAAAAAAAGAAUCAGGGCUUGCAAUCAUUUUAUUUUCUUUCAUUCAACUCACGUUCAUGUUGUACUCAUAUAAUACAAAAACGUAGAAUGCAGUAAGCAACAUCCAGUCAUAUUAUUGUGAUAAUAGCUACCAGAAAAAAAAAAAAAACAAUAGCAAUCUUGCAAAAUGUUUCCAGAAUCUUAAUGAACAAGGGAAUUAUUUCAUAGAGAGUGAAUUGUGCGGUUUAGAAAAACAAACUGCAAACUUGAAGUCAAAACGUUUAAAUUGAGAAAUAGUUACAACCUAUUUUGGUCUAAAAUUUCAUAAUAAAAAAUAUCAACUGUUUCAAAAAAAAAAAAUUGAAGUGAAAAGAAUGUAAAACGGAUCAAUCGAUGAGAAUGAUUAAGAAAAUGUUAUAUUGUUGUAAGAUGCAGGCUGAUUAACUGAUUUACUUAUCUACCAACAUACAUCCAGGGCUGGAAUUCCCUGGAGACAGACUGGGCACCUGCCUACAGACACAUGCCCGCUUGAGGAUGCCACCCUGCCUAUUACAAGUCCCCUCCUCACCUCUUGCAUGGUGCCUGCUGCUGUCUAACUGGAUCAAAGGCUGCUGGACUUAGGAAUCACAAUAUUCAGUCUGAUCUCACAAAUAUUAUUAGGUUUUGUCAUUAAUUUGAUGUUUUCCAUUGAU